UACGUAGGGGGCAAGCGUUGUCCGGAAUCAUUGGGCGUAAAGCGCGUGUAGGCGGCCCGGUAAGUCCGCUGUGAAAGUCCAGGGCUCAACCCUGGGAUGCCGGUGGAUACUGUCGGGCUCGAGUCCGGAAGAGGCGAGUGGAAUUCCUGGUGUAGCGGUGAAAUGCGCAGAUAUCAGGAGGAACACCGAUGGCGAAGGCGGCCCUCUGGCUCGACCCUGACGCUGAGAGGCGAAAGCGUGGGGAGCGAACGGG
This 253-nucleotide ribosomal RNA is filed under the name uncultured bacterium. Its description in RNAcentral is "partial 16S ribosomal RNA". It matches the Rfam family "Bacterial small subunit ribosomal RNA", at positions 524 to 776 of the family's 1533-position model. The record is from RNAcentral.